AGUGAACGCUGGCGGUAGGCCUAACACAUGCAAGUCGAACGGCAGCACAGUAAGAGCUUGCUCUUACGGGUGGCGAGUGGCGGACGGGUGAGGAAUACAUCGGAAUCUACUUUUUCGUGGGUGAUAACGUAGGGAAACUUACGCUAAUACCUCAUACGACCUACGGGUUAAAGCAGUGGAUCUUCGCACCUUUCGCGAUUGUAUUAGCCGAUGUCGGAUUAGCUAGUUGGCGGGGUAAAGGCCCACCAAGGCGACGAUCCGUAGCUGGUCUGAGAGGAUGAUCAGCCACACUGGAACUGAGACACGGUCCAGACUCCUACGGGAGGCAGCAGUGGGGAAUAUUGGACAAUGGGCGAAAGCCUGAUCGAGCCAUACCGCGUGAGUGAAGAAGGCCUUCGGGUUGUAAAGCCCUGUUGUUGGGGAAGAAAAGAAGCAGAUUAAUACCCCGAUGUUCUGACGGUACCCAAAGAAUAAGCACCGGCUAACUUCGUG
This 492-nucleotide ribosomal RNA is filed under the name uncultured bacterium. RNAcentral describes it as "partial 16S ribosomal RNA". It matches the Rfam family "Bacterial small subunit ribosomal RNA", at positions 29 to 507 of the family's 1533-position model. The record is from RNAcentral.